Non-coding RNA from Paramuricea clavata, 316 nucleotides. The record is from the annotation of a GenBank genome assembly. NCBI's taxonomy places the organism in Eukaryota, Metazoa, Cnidaria, Anthozoa, Malacalcyonacea, Plexauridae.
GCAGUACAAUUAAUGAUUUUCCCAAAACAAACAAAAUGGCGGAAAGGCAUUUUAAACACAAAUGUGAAAUGAAAUUGCCGUGGAGGAAUUAGAUGAAAAUACGAGCAAAAGUACCAAAUUUUGCUUGAACAAAAUAACUAAAUGAAAAUACAAACAAAAGCACCAAAUUUUGGUUGAAAGUCUGGCAGGACUGGGCUUUGGCGAGAGAAUAUGAUGUUGACAUUGAGAAGUACGUAUCAUGCAAUGUUGUCAUGCUAAUAAUAAACAAGUAAUCAUGCGAUGUCGCUCGUACAAUUAGGGAUUAAUAGUACUCGUG